GAUGAACGCUGGCGGCGUGCCUAACACAUGCAAGUCGAACGGAGUUGUCACCAUGAAGUUUUCGGAUGGAUUGGUAACAACUUAGUGGCGGACGGGUGAGUAACGCGUGGGUAACCUGCCUCAUACUGGGGGAUAACAGCUGGAAACGGCUGCUAAAACCGCAUAAGAUCGCAUCACCGCAUGGUGAAGCGGUUAAAUAUCGAAAGAUAGGUAUGAGAUGGGCCCGCGUCUGAUUAGCUAGUUGGUGAGAUAAGAGCCCACCAAGGCGACGAUCAGUAGCCGGCUUGAGAGAGUGACCGGCCACAUUGGGACUGAGACACGGCCCAAACUCCUACGGGAGGCAGCAGUGGGGAAUAUUGCACAAUGGGGGAAACCCUGGAUGCAGCGACGCCGCGUGAGUGAAGAAGUGCUUCGGCAUGUAAAGCUCUAUCAGCAGGGAAGAAGAUGACGGUACCUGACUAAGAAGCCCCGGUAACUACGUGCC
This 484-nucleotide ribosomal RNA is filed under the name uncultured bacterium. RNAcentral describes it as "bacterial SSU rRNA". It matches the Rfam family "Bacterial small subunit ribosomal RNA", at positions 28 to 509 of the family's 1533-position model. The record is from RNAcentral.